AUUAAAGUGGCAGAAAAAUUGCAAGGAAUUUAAGCUUCCUUUAUGAAUUAAAUCCUUUAAUA
RNAcentral lists this transfer RNA (62 nucleotides) under Hyalomma asiaticum. RNAcentral's name for it is "tRNA-Leu". Lineage: Eukaryota; Metazoa; Arthropoda; Arachnida; Ixodida; Ixodidae. The record is from RNAcentral.